UGGCGGCGUGCCUAAUACAUGCAAGUCGAACGGCUUUUCUAUGGAAGCUUGCUUCCACUGAGAAGAUAGUGGCGAACGGGUGAGUAACACGUGGGUAACCUGCCCAUAAGAGGGGGAGUAACAUCCGGAAACGGGUGCUAAUACCGCAUAGUUUUCUUGAUCGCAUGAUCGGGAAAGGAAAGACGGCCUUUGUGCUGUCGCUUAUGGAUGGACCCGCGGCGUAUUAGUUAGUUGGUGAGGUAACGGCUCACCAAGACGAUGAUACGUAGCCGACCUGAGAGGGUGAUCGGCCACAUUGGGACUGAGACACGGCCCAAACUCCUACGGGAGGCAGCAGUAGGGAAUCUUCCGCAAUGGACGAAAGUCUGACGGAGCAACGCCGCGUGAGUGAAAGAAGGUUUUCGGAUCGUAAAACUCUGUUGUCAGAGAAGAACAAGUUGGAGAGUAACUGCUCCAGCCUUGACGGUAUCUGACCAGAAAGCCACGGCUAACUACGUGCCAGCCGCCGC
RNAcentral lists this ribosomal RNA (509 nucleotides) under uncultured bacterium. RNAcentral describes it as "bacterial SSU rRNA". It matches the Rfam family "Bacterial small subunit ribosomal RNA", at positions 37 to 518 of the family's 1533-position model. The record is from RNAcentral.